Molecule: ribosomal RNA, 774 nt
Filed under: uncultured Neocallimastigales
Lineage: Eukaryota; Fungi; Neocallimastigomycota; Neocallimastigomycetes; Neocallimastigales
Description: partial large subunit ribosomal RNA
Rfam family: Eukaryotic large subunit ribosomal RNA
Source: RNAcentral
CGUCUAUAUACGUAUAGCAUAUCAAUAAGCGGAGGAAAAGAAACUAACUAGGAUUCCCUCAGUAACGGCGAGUGAAGCGGGAAGAGCUCAAAUUUGAAAUCUUCAAGGUUUUACCUUGACGAAUUGUAGUUUAAAGAAGUGUUUUCUGUUGGAAUUUUGGUAAAAGUUCUUUGGAAAAAGACAUCAAAGAGGGUGAGAAUCCCGUAUUUGACCAUUAUUUCCAGCUUUGUGAUACACUUUCAAAGAGUCGGAUUGUUUGGGAAUGCAGUCCAAAAUGGGUGGUAAAUUUCAUCUAAAGCUAAAUACUGGCGAGAGACCGAUAGCGAACAAGUACCGUGAGGGAAAGAUGAAAAGAACUUUGAAAAGAGAGUUAAACAGUACGUGAAAUUGUCAAAAGGGAAGCGUUUGACACCAGUGUUGUUUUCUCGAAAAUCAAUUAAAAAUGCUGGAUUUUGUGUUGUAUUGACUUUAUCAGCUUUCUGCACUCUUUUUCCUGUCUUUUUUAAUGCACUUUUCGUUUAACAAGUCAACAUCAAUUUCUUUUGCUGUAAAAGAGUCAUUGGAAGGUGGCUUUCUUUUCGGAGAAAGUGUUUAUAGCCUUUGACUUCUGCAAUCGGAGAGAUUGAGGUCUGCAGCGUAGAUCCUUCGGGGUUAGAUACAUUUGUGCUAAGCUAUAGCCUUUCAUAGACAACUUGUUGACUAUGAUCAGUCAUGUAGCUUACUCGCUUAUGUCAUUUUACCUACGCUUAGGAUGUUGAUCUGUAGUGCGUGCGC